UGAGACACGGCCCAAACUCNUACGGGAGGCAGCAGUAGGGAAUCUUCCACAAUGGACGCAAGUUUGAUGGAGCAACGCCGCGUGAGUGAAGAAGGUUUUCGGAUCGUAAAGCUCUGUUGUUGGUGAAGAAGGACAAGGGUAGUAACUGAUUCUUGUUUGACGGUAAUCAACCAGAAAGUCACGGCUAACUACGUGCCAGCAGCCGCGGUAAUACGUAGGUGGCAAGCGUUGUCCGGAUUUAUUGGGCGUAAAGCGAACGCAGGCGGGAGAAUAAGUCAGCUGUGAAAGCCCCCAGCUUAACUGGGGAAGUGCAACUGAAACUAUUUUUCUUGAGUGCAGAAGAGGAGAGUGGAACUCCAUGUGUAGCGGUGGAAUGCGUAGAUAUAUGGAAGAACACCAGUGGCGAAGGCGGCUCUUUGGUCUGUAACUGACGCUGAGGUUCGAAAGCAUGGGUAGCGAACAGGAUUAGAUACCCUGGUAGUCCAUGCCGUAAACGAUGAGUGCUAAGUGUUGGGAGGUUUCCGCCUNCUCAGUGCUGCAGCUAACGCAUUAAGCACUCCGCCUGGGGAGUACGACCGCAAGGUUAAAACUCAAAGGAAUUGACGGGGGCCCGCCCAUUCGAAGGAGCAUGUGGUUUAAUUCGAAGCAACGCGAAGACCCUUAACAGGUCUUGACAUCUAGUGCNCAGUCCUAGAGAUAGGAU
RNAcentral lists this ribosomal RNA (703 nucleotides) under Lactobacillus sp. SD2. RNAcentral describes it as "bacterial SSU rRNA". It matches the Rfam family "Bacterial small subunit ribosomal RNA", at positions 320 to 1012 of the family's 1533-position model. Lineage: Bacteria; Bacillati; Bacillota; Bacilli; Lactobacillales; Lactobacillaceae. The record is from RNAcentral.